AGCGCCUGCUCAGUGUUUCAGGAAUGGCAGAGUGAACUGUCUCACUCUCUCUCCCUCUCUCUCCCUCUCUCUCUCCCUCUCUCUCUCCCCCUCUCCGCCGGAUGUUUGCGGGGUUUUGCGGGUCUGCUCGCAGUGGGUUGUGCGCUGUAGUCGGGUGGAGGAUGUGGAGAUGUGGGGAUGUGGAGCUGUGUGUUUUGGGGGAAACAGAUGGCUUCUUUGCGCUGUGUUUUUCUCCUCGACUCGCGCUGAGCUGCUGACCUGCUAAAACUUGCCCCUUUUUUCUUUUUCUGGAUUUACUCUGGAUUUGUCUGGAUUUCUCCCGAAGUCGGAUAUUUUCCCCCCAGAUCCUUCCUGCGUGUUCCCCUCCAGAGGCUCGCGAGGAGCUCCACGCCGGAAGCGCCGCGUCUCGAGCUCUCAGGAUGAAGAUGAAGAAGAGGAGGACAUCAUUGACGGCUUCGCCAUCGCCAGCUUCUCCAGCCUGGAGGGUCUGCAGGACCCUGCAGAGUUCUUCUGUUCGUCCCUCUAGAACCCAACACCAGAACAUGUUCAGUUGUUUCCAGAGAAAAAUGUUCCAGGUCGUGUCUGAGUAACCAUCUAAAGAACUUUAUUCCACUGAGAGAUGUAUUACACACGAGC
Long non-coding RNA from Ictalurus punctatus (channel catfish), 636 nucleotides. The record is from Ensembl. Lineage: Eukaryota; Metazoa; Chordata; Actinopteri; Siluriformes; Ictaluridae.